UGCCAACUUUGCCAGCAGAUGUAUUUAUCCCUGCGUGUGUGAAGUGCUAUGGGGCAGGGAUGAAGCCACUAUUGUAUGUUGGGAAGCACCAGGGGUAGAUUGCAGCGAGCUCCUUCUCAGAAGUCAUUUCUUUUAUCCUCCCAGUAUCAAUGUGUUUGCCAUCACCAUUCUCAACCGCCAGGCUCCUGCUCCCAUUUAGAGGCUGUGCAACAUUUCAAAUUACUAUUUUUUUGAAGGUGGUCUGUGUGGCUUCACACACCAAGGACAUGGCGAGGCCCAGCAUGGCACGCAGUAGGAAAGCCUCGCACACAGCCACACUUGAUCUGCAAGGAGGUGGAAGGAGCUGGUCAGGAGCUGCGUUAUGCUGUAGAAAUCGCAGGGUCUUCUCUAUGCAGGUGAAAAUGGGUGAGAAGGAGUACAACUGUUGGAUUUGUGGCAGGAAUUUUCAAACGAAUGAAAGCGUAAGGAUGAAAACAGAAGAAAAGUGUUCAGCACGGACACAGUUAAAUUUCCAGGAGCAUAAGGAAACUGUUACAGAAAAGGUGACAAUAAUACAUCUUGUUGGAAAGGAGAACCAAAAUGAAGCAGCUGUACAUCAGAGAGAAAAUCUGAACUAAGAGACUGAUAACAAGUAUGCCGAGUAUUUUUUCUUGCUUACGGGUGAAAAAGCCAGCAAAGUCUCUGUUUGAAGACAAAGCACAUAAUAAUAUGAUCAUAAAAAUCUCCUAAUGGGGACUGUGUGAUGCACGGUAAAUGUAUUCCUUUCAGUACGUUAUUCCCUCUACAUGCAGGCUUUCAAGGUACCCUCGAACCGUACUGUGGAUAUGAUAGCAUCAGCACAGCUAGAUGUGAGCAGAGCUGGACCUCCUUUUUCCUUAUUAUUGCUAUUAUUUGUGCUCUUAUCAUUUCAUACUGAUCUCACGGCAACUCCUGGGAGGUUCAGACAGAAAAGUCACCCCAUUUUUCAAGAGGUGGUUUGCAGACAUUGCUAAGGCACCAUCUGUGCCCAGAGAAAAGCUGCAAUUGAUGGAAAUGAAGUGACAUUCAGAGGGUGGAGAGAGGAAUACAGCAAUUAUAGGUGGGGCUGGUAGUAUUACCUGUUAUUAAGGGCUUGCCUGACACUUCCCAUUUUAAGGCCUGCUCCUCGUGGUUUUUAAGUACUUAGUAAACUUUAAGCAUUUGUCUUUACCUAGACUUCUACCCUUGGCUGCUUCUGCUGCUCAGGUGUUAUUAACAGAAUUUAUUUCAUUUGGACGUCGUGGCAGGACUGGAGCUGGAGGAAGGAGCAGCAGCUUUAAAAACAUACAAAUAAAUGUUAUCCUUUUACCUUUCAGUAUAUUUUUUUUGUUUUGCUUUGCCAUAAGAACUCAAACACUGUAAUCUCACCUUGUUUUCUUAUAUUCCUCCAGCUACCUGUCUGCAUCCAUCUGUGAUCUCUUUUCUUAGAUUUGAGCCUGUCUUUCUGAUCUGCAUUUGUGCACUGCUUUAUACAGCUGGGUGCUGGUCCGUGACUGCUGCACCUAUGAGCUGCAGCCAUGCAAACAAAUACUCU
Molecule: long non-coding RNA, 1552 nt
Filed under: Gallus gallus (chicken)
Lineage: Eukaryota; Metazoa; Chordata; Aves; Galliformes; Phasianidae
Description: long non-coding RNA NONGGAT003942
Source: RNAcentral